Molecule: non-coding RNA, 1392 nt
Organism: Oryctolagus cuniculus (rabbit)
Lineage: Eukaryota; Metazoa; Chordata; Mammalia; Lagomorpha; Leporidae
Source: RefSeq, a predicted model, not a curated record
GCGCGCGUCCGUCCGCCCCUGAGGGUCCGCGAGGGUCGCGCACCUGUCCAGACGGCCCUUUCCCGUCCCGCCUUUCGCCACCAAGGGGGCAGCGGAGGCCAGCACCGGCCGCCUCGGUGAUGGAGCGAGUGGAUCCAGAAGUGAAACCACCUGGAGGCGGCGGGCGGAGCCGCCCCCGGACGGAGCUGUGAGGAAGGGUCUGCAGGAGUGCGCAGAGAAAGGAGACCGGCUGGCUCGGACGGGGGCCUAGGGGUGACAGCGAAGAGGCUUCCCUUCCCCGCAGAGCACAACAUAGAUGGUUCUUCACCUGCUACCUGAACUCAGGGACAGUGAAGCAUGGAGAGCGGAAGUCUCAACCCCAGCCAUGCAUCCGUGGGUGCAUCCCCGCAAUCCAUGCUCCUACAACACUGUGUGUGAGGAUAAAGGACCUGGUACAGGUUGUCCUGCAGUACAAAGAGCUUCUAAUGGGUGAGCUGGCUGGAACACGUCCCCCAGGAAUUCUCAAAGGCUCCUCAUCCUGGCCUGCCACCACACACACACCUUUAAUGUGUUCAUUACAUAGAGAGAAUCAGUUGAAUGUGCAUGAACUCCAUGCAGAAAUGACAUAUGAAACCACCACAUGCGGCUAUUUAGAGAGAAACUUUAAGUGCUAAUAACAACUCAGAAUUUACUGGGUGCCUAACAGUAAGUACAGUGCAUCCACACCCCCUACAAUCUUUGUUAACAAUCCCCUGGAGCCGAUACUACUAUUAUGCCUGUUUUAUCACUGAAGAAGCCAAGGCACAGAGAAACAAUUCACAGGCAGAUAGUCUGCAGUGCAGCCAGGAUUUGCAACUAGCCAGUUUGACUUCAAAUCUCUUACUCAUAACCACUAGAUCUGACCGUGUCAUAUAAGUUUUAGGUAAAGAUAAAAAGAAAACCCAGUUGGUGUUUUGAUUGGAAUUCCACUUCAUUAUUCCAUUAACUUGGGGAGAAGUGAAUUUUUUAUAAAAAUCUUUCAGUGUAUGUGUGUGUGUGUAUCAACCUAUACAAAUAUUAUUAAAGUUUUGAAUGUUGAGCUUAUAUCUAAAAACUUAAUAACUCCCUUAUUUGUUCUAAUGGUUUUUUUCUAUAGAUUCUGAUUUUCUGUGUAGACACUUUCUAGGGUGAGGACUGAUUCUGUUCUUCCUUCCCAGGCAUCUUUCUUCUUUCUUCGUCUUAUUGCAUUGUGCAGUGCCUCUAGAAUCUAAGCUAAAUAGAAGGGGUCAUAACAGGCAUUCUUGUCUUGGCCCUUACUUCAGUGAGCACACUUGUAUUUCACACCAUGAAGCCACUAAGAAAGAAACUCAUUGUAAGCUCUUGGUAAUGCAUGUUGUUAAUGAAUAAAGUUUAUUUUUCUUCCUAGUCUGCUAA